GCCUCAUCAAGCACUUCUGCUAAACACACACUCCCUGUUCCUCAUCCCUAUGUGUCCUAUUCAGCUGCAGGGGACUAACCGGAAGCUAAUAGCUUGUCUGAGACCAUGAGAGCCAGAAGUCUGCUUGCAAGGUGUUAUCCACUUGUAAUUAUAGGCCCGCAAGGGGUGAAUGCUUACCAUGGGGAGUGACUCUUCUUUCCCAAGUACAGGUGUCCCUUCUUCUUGAGCCCCUGCCAGGUGCUCAGCAGCUUGGGAGCCCGUCAGAUAAAUAGCAACUGAGGUUAUAGAUUUCCUAUGCUUGAAGUCUUCUGCCACUCAGCAGAACAGCAUUGGAAAAUAAUUUCAGUUCCAUAGUUCUUAUUAUAAACUCUAGUAAGAGCUGGAGUCCUAUUUUUAAAUUACCAGAUUUGACUUAUUUGCAUGUCUGGCAUAACCUACCAAAACUAGUCCCUGCAGCCCGGUUGCCCUCUUCUGUGCUUAUAUUAUUUCAUUUGUUUGUAUUUAGGAUCCCCAAAGAAGGGCUUAAUACAUUAUUAAGAGGGAGUUUGACCUAUGAUCUUUAAUAAGGAGCUUCUUAGAUUAGUCAAGAUUUGAAAGCCAAAUAUUUAUAAACAUGUUCCUACAUGUAUAAAAGGGAGGAUGUAAACCAAACUGUUAACAAUGAGUAUCUCGGGGGAGUGGUACUGGACAGGGUGGAAAAUGUCACUUUCUGUUUUAUACACUUCUAUUGUCUAAGCUUUGUUGUUUAACAAGGAGCAUGUGACUCAUGUUUUAACUUUUUAAAAACAUUGUGUUUAUUUAGAAUAAUUUUAUUCACUCAUGGGAAAUUAAACUGGAUUCACACUUAUGCCAAGAGCAAGUAUGAUUCAAGGCAUAUUAGAAUCAGUUGAUUGGAAUUGAUUGGCUUUAGGAGGAACUGGUGGAGACAGACUGACACAAGCUAGCGUAGAGCCUCUUCCACCAGCCGGAGGGAUGCUCUCAGUCUCUUCUCAUGCAAACCCCCGGAUUAGGAGAAGAAUGAAACCAGGAAGAUUGCAAGCCCUCGUGUGGAACCUAGGAGGCAGGGACUGGUGACCACUUAAAGCAGAUUGGCUCCAGCCUCGGCAGAAUGUGAUGCCAGAACAUAGGCAUGGAAUCGCCUCAGCUCUGCCAGGAGUUCGCUCUACAACUUUAGGAUUUCUGGGCAAAUA
This 1190-nucleotide long non-coding RNA is filed under the name Equus caballus (horse). RNAcentral's name for it is "lncRNA (ENSECAG00000039254.2)". Lineage: Eukaryota; Metazoa; Chordata; Mammalia; Perissodactyla; Equidae. The record is from RNAcentral.